CAGCACUACUGGGUUUUCCAGGCUUCUUCACUACUCCAGCUCAGCUUAGGAAAACGGCAUAAAACUAAUGAAACUGAUCUGUGAAUGAAUGCUGUAGCAUUAACAUACUGAAGGUCCAAAUCAGAGCUUAGCCUAUAGCUCUAUCGUACUCGGAUAUCAAAGCAGGAAUGGACAGUGAAGGAGGGAAGCAAAAGGAAGCCCCACGGUGGAAUGGGAAAGAGUAAAAAGGGAGUGGAUGGAUGAGUGUUUCAGAGAUGGGAGAUUCUUCCAGAAGAAGUGGAGUGGAGAACGCCUUCACUAUGGCCUCCAAUUACAGUUAAUAUGAAAGAACCCAUGAGGGUGAGCCGAAAGUCAGGGAAGAAAACACUGUGGAUAUUCACUCCUCCAGAGCAGCUGAGGCUCAUCUGCAAGGGUCAUAGCGGUCCCUUCAUCCUUCAGCUACUGGGGUACAUCACUCCUGUCUGUUCUUCGCCUGCUGUCACCCCACAUAGCAAGGAAGAAGACAAGGGGUUGCUGGUACAUCCCUCCAGAUGUCCUUCCGCUGUGGAAUCAGAUUACAGUUGGAUGUCCUCCCCAUUUAACAUGGGUAAAUAUUAGCUGCAUGGAAAACAACAUCAGAGGCUUAGCUAUGCAGUGAAUGUUGCAUGGAGAAGUAACACUGCAGUGAGGUCAACCCUACAUUUUAUUCAUGUAUUUUCACUUGGCCAGGUUACAUUUCUACAGAGACUGUGACCAUGAGUGUGGUGAUAACCUCCCACUGAGAUGCAACCUCUGAAAUUAAAACCUUCUGCACUUUCUAGAGUUUGUUAGGAAGUGACUGUGUGUAAAUGGACAAGAUAUUUGUCAGGCUAAAUGCAGUUUAUGGAGAAGUUUCUUAACUGCUUGCAUCCUUAGAAACACUACUGCACAUAAUUGGAGUGGGUAAUAAAACGAUUCCAGGAUGAUCGAU
Molecule: long non-coding RNA, 949 nt
Filed under: Gallus gallus (chicken)
Lineage: Eukaryota; Metazoa; Chordata; Aves; Galliformes; Phasianidae
Description: long non-coding RNA NONGGAT001112
Source: RNAcentral